RNAcentral lists this ribosomal RNA (433 nucleotides) under uncultured bacterium. RNAcentral's name for it is "partial 16S ribosomal RNA". It matches the Rfam family "Bacterial small subunit ribosomal RNA", at positions 29 to 507 of the family's 1533-position model. The record is from RNAcentral.
AGCGAACGCUGGCGGCAGGCUUAACACAUGCAAGUCGAGCGGGCACUUCGGUGUCAGCGGCAGACGGGUGAGUAACACGUGGGAACGUACCCUUCGGUUCGGAAUAACGCUGGGAAACUAGCGCUAAUACCGGAUACGCCCUUUUGGGGAAAGGUUUACUGCCGAAGGAUCGGCCCGCGUCUGAUUAGCUAGUUGGUGGGGUAAUGGCCUACCAAGGCGACGAUCAGUAGCUGGUCUAAGAGGAUGAUCAGCCACACUGGGACUGAGACACGGCCCAGACUCCUACGGGAGGCAGCAGUGGGGAAUAUUGGACAAUGGGCGCAAGCCUGAUCCAGCCAUGCCGCGUGAGUGAUGAAGGCCUUAGGGUUGUAAAGCUCUUUUGUCCGGGACGAUAAUGACGGUACCGGAAGAAUAAGCCCCGGCUAACUUCGUG